GAUGAAGAACGCAGCGAAAUGCGAUAAGUAAUGUGAAUUGCAGAAUUCAGUGAGUCAUCGAAUCUUUGAACGCACAUUGCGCCCGCCAGUAUUCUGGCGGGCAUGCCUGUCUGAGCGUCAUUUCAACCCUCAUGCCCCUAGGGCGUGGUGUUGGGGAUCGGCCAAAGCCCGCGAGGGACGGCCGGCCCCUAAAUCUAGUGGCGGACCCGUCGUGGCCUCCUCUGCGAAGUAGUGAUAUUCCGCAUCGGAGAGCGAUGAGCCCCUGCCGUUAAACCCCCAACUUUCCAAGGUUGACCUCAGAUCUGGUAGGAAUACCCGCUGAACUUAAGCAUAUCAAUAAGCGGAGG
This 347-nucleotide unclassified non-coding RNA is filed under the name soil metagenome. Its description in RNAcentral is "partial contains 5.8S ribosomal RNA, internal transcribed spacer 2, and large subunit ribosomal RNA". The stretch from base 1 to 120 matches the Rfam family "5.8S ribosomal RNA", at positions 35 to 154 of the family's 154-position model. The record is from RNAcentral.